Molecule: non-coding RNA, 92 nt
Organism: Mycena polygramma
Lineage: Eukaryota; Fungi; Basidiomycota; Agaricomycetes; Agaricales; Mycenaceae
Source: the annotation of a GenBank genome assembly
GUCCCCGUGGAUUAAUGGUAAAUCACUCCCAAGCCGUGGCGAGCUGCAACGAAUAUUUGCGAGCGAUGUGGGUUCGAAUCCCAGCGGGGAUU